Molecule: ribosomal RNA, 450 nt
Filed under: uncultured bacterium
Lineage: Bacteria
Description: bacterial SSU rRNA
Rfam family: Bacterial small subunit ribosomal RNA
Source: RNAcentral
AUGGGAACGCGAAGAACCUUACCUAGACUUGACAUCUCCUGAAUAGUGUAGAGAUACAUGAAGCCCUUCGGGGCAGGAAGACAGGUGGUGCAUGGUUGUCGUCAGCUCGUGUCGUGAGAUGUUGGGUUAAGUCCCGCAACGAGCGCAACCCUUGUCAUUAGUUGCUACCAUUAAGUUGAGCACUCUAAAGAGACUGCCCGGGUUAACCGGGAGGAAGGUGGGGAUGACGUCAAAUCAUCAUGCCCCUUAUGUCUAGGGCCACACACGUGCUACAAUGGUGAGUACAACGAGAUGCGAACCCGCGAGGGGGAGCUAAACUCAAAAACUCAUCUCAGUUCGGAUUGCAGGCUGCAACUCGCCUGCAUGAAGCUGGAGUUGCUAGUAAUCGCGAAUCAGAAUGUCGCGGUGAAUACGUUCCCGGGUCUUGUACACACCGGGUCUUGUACACAC